This is an RNA transcript of Alexandromys fortis (reed vole), 1499 nucleotides long. It is a transcript of the gene named paired immunoglobulin-like type 2 receptor beta, with no coding region annotated. The transcript has 6 exons. Lineage: Eukaryota; Metazoa; Chordata; Mammalia; Rodentia; Cricetidae. The record is from RefSeq and is a predicted model, not a curated record.
GGUGAGGUCAAUUCCAUAUCUUCCUGCCAAAGUCAGGGCUGGCUCAAGGGUUCGGCCCUCGUCUCACAAGGGUGGAUCUUCUGCAACAUGGGAAAGAAGAAGCCAGAAUGAUACAGGAAGUUGCUGGCCACAAGGAGGUGGAGAUGGGGAGGUUCUGCCCCCACUGUCCUCCACAUGAGAAGGCCUGGGGGAUGUGGAUCCCUUUACCCUGAUUCUCUCCUGAAUCCUGAGCGCCACAGGCUUCUUCCACAGGGCCUCCUCUCCUGCCUGAUGGCUCUGCUGGUCUCAUUUCACGGAGGGAAUGGGGUCAUAGCGUGGGUCCUGCUUCUGCUGCUGACAGCAGUGUGCGUGCAACCUGGGAACUCAGCAGGAUCCAACAGAGUAAAUGGCUAUCGGGUGGAACAACCAGCACGCCUCUCUGGUGUCCAGGGCGGCUUCAUCGAGAUCCCCUUCUCCUUCUACUUCCCCUGGGAGUUGGCACAGGAUUCACAGAUGAGGAUUCUCUGGAGAUGGAAGAAGUUUCAUGCGGAAUUGAUCUACAACUCUUCCUCGGGUUUCAUACACGAGCAUUUUAAGGGCCGGGUCAUCCUGAACUGGACACAGCCUCAGACAUCCGGAGUCCUCAGAAUCCUGGACUUGAAGGAGAAGGACCAGACGGUGUACUUCUGCCAAGUUCGUCUGAACACAAGUAAAGGUGUGCUGAUGUUACAGUCGAAUGAUGGGACCCACCUCACCAUCACCAAUGUAGUCGGAACCACCACGAAGAGCCCCUCCUUGGUCUCCUCUGUAGUCACCACGGCUGGCUUGGAAAACACAGAGAGCCAAAGGAAUCCUUCUUUUGUGAACAUAGUAGCCACGGUCGGGGUGAUUGUGGCCACGGCUGUGCUAAUAACCCCAGUCUGUGUACUGAUGAUCUUCCUCUGGUGGAAGCAAAGAAGGGCUCAGCCCUGCAAUGGAUAAGAAGAGCAGCUGAGAGGUGGAGAGCAGCAGUCUGGGAGGGCAGCAGAAGUCUGACUGGAAUUCGAACCCUGAGACUGAAUCUGCAGGGGGCAGUACCAGGUUCCAGGGAGACAAAAGGAGGCCUGGCCAGCAGACUAAAGCUGAAACCCCAGCCAGGUGAGCGGCUGUCAUCCCAAGGAGCAGGGUCACCCAUAGGCAUCUGCUGAGACAUUGUCUGUUAUCUGCUGCUACCAGACUUCCAAGCCCCAGCAUCUCACCAAGGUGACCAUUUUCCAUCAAAGUAGGGAUUGCUGGCCACACACCCUGCAUCUCACUCUCCUCCCUGUCUUCUGCCUUAGAAUCAGAGAGCAUGGCUACAGUCCUGAUCUCAGAUACAUCUUGUCCCUGAACAGGGGGUACAAGAAGAGAACCCCCACUUCUGCCAUGUAGACUCUGAUUUCCUCUCCUUAGAAACCAGGUCAAAUUUUCUGUCUCUGUUCCUGAGAGCCUUACUGUGCUGCUUCCUGUCACUCUAUGGAAUUAAUAAUAAAUUCAAUAAA